CGGGGACCCACUUUUUCGUGUCAGAAUCAGAUAUAAAAAUACGAAAAAAAUAAAAAAAAUUUUAUAGGACUUGGGGGAUUUUAAUAUAUAAACUAAAUUCUAAAUUUACAAAAAAAUAUAUAGGACUUGGGGGAUUUUAAUUUUGUAAUAGUAAAUAGGAGGAAAUAGAAAUUUUUUUUACUUUUUUUCAUAUUUUUAUAUCUAAUUCUGACACGAAAAAAAAAUUUACUGUUCACUGGGUGCCGGCCAUUGAUAGGCCAACACCCAAAUUUUUUUUUUUUCCUAUUUUAUAUCUGAUUCUGACACGAAAAAAAAGAAAAAAA
RNAcentral lists this microRNA precursor (323 nucleotides) under Gossypium hirsutum (cotton). RNAcentral's name for it is "miR7501 stem-loop (ghr-MIR7501)". Lineage: Eukaryota; Viridiplantae; Streptophyta; Magnoliopsida; Malvales; Malvaceae. The record is from miRBase by way of RNAcentral.